RNAcentral lists this small RNA (26 nucleotides) under Bombyx mori (domestic silkworm). RNAcentral describes it as "ovarian small RNA-30955". Lineage: Eukaryota; Metazoa; Arthropoda; Insecta; Lepidoptera; Bombycidae. The record is from RNAcentral.
UGAAGGCAUUUGGACAACAGCUAGAA